CCACGGUAUGAUUCAUGACUGGGGUGAAGUCGUAACAAGGUAACCGUAGGGGAACCUGCGGUUGGAUCACCUCCUUA
Molecule: ribosomal RNA, 77 nt
Filed under: Pasteurella multocida
Lineage: Bacteria; Pseudomonadati; Pseudomonadota; Gammaproteobacteria; Pasteurellales; Pasteurellaceae
Also listed under: 1 other name
Description: partial 16S ribosomal RNA
Rfam family: Bacterial small subunit ribosomal RNA
Source: RNAcentral